Molecule: ribosomal RNA, 425 nt
Filed under: uncultured bacterium
Lineage: Bacteria
Description: partial 16S ribosomal RNA
Rfam family: Bacterial small subunit ribosomal RNA
Source: RNAcentral
GUUAGGAAUAUUGGACAAUGGACGCAAGUCUGAUCCAGCCAUGCCGCGUGAGUGAUGAAGGCCUUCGGGUUGUAAAGCUCUUUAGCCGACGAUUAUAAUGACUGUAGUCGGAAAAUAAGCCCCGGCUAACUUCGUGCCAGCAGCCGCGGGAAUACGAAGGGGGCGAGCGUUAUUCGGAAUCACUGGGCGUAAAGCGUGCGUAUGCGGUUUUGUAAGUUGGGAGUGAAAGCCCAGGGCUCAACCCUGGAAUUGCUCUCAAAACUACAAGACUUGAAUUCGAGAGAGGAUAGCGGAAUUGUCAGUGUAGCAGUGAAAUGCGUAGAUAUUGACAGGAACACCAGUGGCGUAAGCGGCUAUCUGGACCGACAUUGACGCUGAGGCACGAAAGCGUGGGGAUCAAACAGGAUUAGAUACCCUAGUAGUCC